CAAAAAGUGGAGGAAAAGAAACCAACUGGGAUUACCUUAGUAACGGCGAGUGAAGCGGUAAAAGCUCAAAUUUGAAAUCUGGUACUUUCAGUGCCCGAGUUGUAAUUUGUAGAAUUUGUCUUUGAUUAGGUCCUUGUCUAUGUUCCUUGGAACAGGACGUCAUAGAGGGUGAGAAUCCCGUUUGGCGAGGAUACCUUUUCUCUGUAAGACUUUUUCGAAGAGUCGAGUUGUUUGGGAAUGCAGCUCAAAGUGGGUGGUAAAUUCCAUCUAAAGCUAAAUAUUGGCGAGAGACCGAUAGCGAACAAGUACAGUGAUGGAAAGAUGAAAAGAACUUUGAAAAGAGAGUGAAAAAGUACGUGAAAUUGUUGAAAGGGAAGGGCAUUUGAUCAGACAUGGUGUUUUUUGCAUGCACUCGCCUCUCGUGGGCUUGGGCCUCUCAAAAAUUUCACUGGGCCAACAUCAAUUCUGGCAGCAGGAUAAAUCAUUAAGAAUGUAGCUACUUCGGUAGUGUUAUAGCUUUUUGGAAUACUGUUAGCCGGGAUUGAGGACUGCGCUUCGGCAAGGAUGUUGGCAUAAUGGUUAAAUGCCGCCCGUCUG
Molecule: ribosomal RNA, 597 nt
Filed under: Hanseniaspora uvarum
Lineage: Eukaryota; Fungi; Ascomycota; Saccharomycetes; Saccharomycodales; Saccharomycodaceae
Description: eukaryotic LSU rRNA
Rfam family: Eukaryotic large subunit ribosomal RNA
Source: RNAcentral